Molecule: long non-coding RNA, 847 nt
Organism: Cyprinus carpio carpio
Lineage: Eukaryota; Metazoa; Chordata; Actinopteri; Cypriniformes; Cyprinidae
Source: Ensembl
GGGCAGAGACUGAUACACGGGCGUGGCACAGGGGCUCUACAGCGCCCCCUGGAAUAUGGAGGGCCAUAUAUCAUACAUACUUGCACGUAGACGUAUGAAACUCGGUACACAUAUUGGAACCUGCGGCCAUUAGGGCCGGGCAGAGACUGAUACACGGGCGUGGCACAGGGGCUCUACAGCGCCCCCUGGAAUAUGGAGGGCCAUAUAUCAUACAUACUUGCACGUAGACGUAUGAAACUCGGUACACAUAUAGAUCUCAUCAAGCCAAACAACUUUCGUACUGCAUGUCAUAGGCUCCGCCCAACAGGAAGUUGGCUAUUUAGGGUUUAGUAUUCUUAUUUUUCGUCAAAGUUGUGGGGGCUUUUGGGGCCCUUAACAUGCUCAAAAACUCUUGAAAAUUUGCACACACCUUGAAUCUGUGGCCAUUAGGAGGCUGCAGAGGCUGAGACCCGGGCGUGGCACAGGGGCUCUACGGCGCCCCCUGGAACACAGUCAGAAAUGUUGAUGUAUAGUUCAAACAUACUUGCACGUAUUCAUAUGAAACUCAGUACACAUAUAGAUCUCAUUGUGCCGAACAACUUUCGUAUUGCAUGUCAUAGGCUCCGCCCAACAGGAAGUCAGCUAUUUAGAGCUAUGUAAAAAGUGCAUGCUCUGGAAUUUGAUAUACUUGUCAUAGGUUUUUUACCCGAUUGCCACCAGACUUGGUCAACAUGAUCUCAAGACAUUGGGGAUGCAAAAUUGCCAGGGGAUUUUUGAUAUCUUGAACGGUUUGCUCAUGGCGAGGCGUUGAAAUUAUGGCGAGAAAUGAGAAACAGGAAGUGUCUAAUAACAUCCACAUACAUUUCCU